Molecule: ribosomal RNA, 497 nt
Filed under: uncultured bacterium
Lineage: Bacteria
Description: partial 16S ribosomal RNA
Rfam family: Bacterial small subunit ribosomal RNA
Source: RNAcentral
GAUGAACGCUGGCGGCGUGCCUAAUACAUGCAAGUCGAGCGAACAGACGAGGAGCUUGCUCCUCUGACGUUAGCGGCGGACGGGUGAGUAACACGUGGAUAACCUACCUAUAAGACUGGGAUAACUUCGGGAAACCGGAGCUAAUACCGGAUAACAUGUUGAACCGCAUGGUUCAACAGUGAAAGACGGUUUUGCUGUCACUUAUAGAUGGAUCCGCGCCGCAUUAGCUAGUUGGUAAGGUAACGGCUUACCAAGGCAACGAUGCGUAGCCGACCUGAGAGGGUGAUCGGCCACACGGGAACUGAGACACGGUCCAGACUCCUACGGGAGGCAGCAGUAGGGAAUCUUCCGCAAUGGGCGAAAGCCUGACGGAGCAACGCCGCGUGAGUGAAGAAGGUCUUCGGAUCGUAAAACUCUGUUAUUAGGGAAGAACAAAUGUGUAAGUAACUAUGCACGUCUUGACGGUACCUAAUCAGAAAGCCACGGCUAACUACGUG